AGCAGUGUUUUUCCAACCACCAUUCAUCGGCACUUCUUGUUUUAGCUGUUUUUCUCAACACUACUUCCAGAGCCUAAAAUAAUGCAUGACUCAGAACAAGUUCCCUGUAUUUGUAGAAUGAAUGAGUAAAGGUCAAUGGUGAAGUUCUGGCAUAGCUUAGUUAUGUAGCAGUCUGUCUCCCAAGAGUAUAAGCAUUUAAUUCAGGGGCUGUGUUUAAUGGCUGGCAAGUCAUAUCUGAGGAUAAGGAGGGCUUCACUUAUUGAGUUUGCUAGAUAUGAUGUUGAGUACCUGAGGAAAGUCAGCAUCAACAUCAACUGAAAACUUGCUGGAAAUAGAAAUUCUCAGGAACUGAACCAGAAACUCAAGGUGGGAUCACCGGAGAAAACUGCCAGAGGAACAGAGGGACACACAUCGUCUAGUUCCACAAAAAUCCAGCUAUAUCAAGGGUUGCCAAGAGGUAGACCAAUUGGAAACAACUUAUUAAAGAAUAAG
This 492-nucleotide long non-coding RNA is filed under the name Callithrix jacchus (white-tufted-ear marmoset). RNAcentral describes it as "lncRNA (ENSCJAG00000079137.1)". The record is from RNAcentral. Lineage: Eukaryota; Metazoa; Chordata; Mammalia; Primates; Cebidae.